Molecule: unclassified non-coding RNA, 361 nt
Filed under: Hevea brasiliensis (rubber tree)
Lineage: Eukaryota; Viridiplantae; Streptophyta; Magnoliopsida; Malpighiales; Euphorbiaceae
Source: RNAcentral
GCUGAACAAGUGGUUUUGGAUUCCUUCAACUUUCUCUUGUUUCUACUCUAAGUCUUCUGUUGCUGAUACUAUGAUAAGAAUAUUGGAUUAUAUGUGCGAUUUGACGCCUUGACUGUAUUCUUGGAAAUGGUGGACCUCAAGAUUCACUUGUAGAAAAGGAUGAUGCUUCUCUGCCAAAUUUGAUUCUGAAAGUUUAAUGACAAAUGUUAAAUUGGUACUCUUUUGGGUAUUUAUGGCAGUUUGACUUGAAAUGACUUUAGGGUGGUUGGUUGAAUCCUGCGAUGGUUUGGUAAAUGAAGAAAAGAAUUAUAAUUUUAAUAUUCUAGAAUAGGGGAUACAGGUUUGGGGCUGCUUGAAUUUA